CUGAGAUGAUCCGUAUUUUCCCUCUUCCAAUCACAAUCCUUCCGAUCUCAAUGCCUGAAGAAAACCUAGGUUUACAUCGCGUUCGCAGAAGCCAGAAGCGAAGCCUCCUUCCGAUUGCCAGCAAGCAUUUUUUAGGAUCAUUUUCAUUGGUGGUGGUAAUUCAUGGCGAGGAAAUCCAGUAGCAGUUGCUGCGCCAUCUGCGAGGGUUCCAAUCUCGCGUCAAUUUGUGCGCCCUGCGUUAAUUAUAGAUUAAAUGAGUACAGUGCCUUGAUGAAAUCUCUUAAUAUCGUCCGUCAAUCUUACUAUUCCAAGCUCUUCGAUUUUCUUGAGAAGAAGAGAAUAGCAGAUGAGCAAAAUAAUUGGAUAUCGGAUCAAAAUGAGAAACUCAAGAAAUUGGAGCAGCGGCUAACCUACUUAAAGGCGAAACGUGUAGAAGAUAAGGCUAAGGUUGCUGAACAAUCAAAUGAUCUGAAGUCGAAAUACGAGUCAUUAGAAUUAGCAUUUGAAAUAAUAAAAAAGAAGCGCACAGAUGUAUUGGAUAAAUUCAAUACUGAUCUGAUAUACAACCAGCGGUCAGCUUAUAUGGCUAUCACUUCUGAACUUUUUCAUCGGCAGUCAGUGAUUGUAAAACAGAUUUGCAAGAUCUUCCCUCUGCGCAAGGUGAACUCAGAUGCAAAAAAAGAUGGAUCAAAUAGCAUGUGUGACCAAAUAUGCAAUGCUCGCUUACCUAGAGGAUUGGAUCCACAUUCUGUACCUCCUGAACAGCUUGCAGCUUCUUUAGGGUACAUGAUUCAAUUGCUGAAUCUGAUUGUUCCAAUUUUGGCUGCUCCAGUUCUUCAUAACUCUGGUUUUGCAGGGUCAUGUUCACGGAUAUGGCAACGAGCCUCAUAUUGGGAUGCUUGCCCAUUCUCACAGAGCAAGGAAUAUCCACUUUUCAUACCACGACAGAGUUUCUGCACUUCAGGUGGAGAAAAUUUGUGGUCUAAUAGAAGCUCCUCAAAUUUCGGUGUUGCUUCAGUAGAAUCUGAAAGCAGACCUUAUUUAGAGAGUUCCAGAAGUAGUAGUUUUAAUUAUUCCCUUGCUUCACCACAUUCUCUUGAAAAUCACACGGACCUGCAGAAAGGAAUUUCCCUACUCAAGAAAAGUGUGGCAUGCAUCACAACAUAUUGGUAUAAUAUCUUGGAUCUGGAUAUGCCUUCAGAAGCUUCUACCUUUGAAACAUUUGGUAAAUUGUUGGUUCUUCUAUCAUCUUCAAAGGAAUUACAGUUGAUCAGAAACUCUUUGAAGAUGGCUUGCUCAAGGUGUGAGUUCAAUGCUUUAAUUACCAUGUGAUCUUGGGGACUAUACAUGUCUUUGGAACUCAUUCGGCUUUUUCCCUGUCAACUUUUGUAGUCACCAUAGCUAAGAGAAUGGUUGCAUCUACAAAUAGUUUGCCUAUCUCUGAUUAUUUUGCUCACUGGUAUAUAACUUUGCGAUUUUUGCCUUCAUUGUACAAUAACCAUCUUAUUAGGUAGUGACACUGUGGAAGCAGUCUUAUCGGAUGUUUGCUGUUGACCAUUAUUUCAAUCCUUCUGAGAUGAGGAGAUGCAGAUUAAUGCUGAAGUCAAAUGAUUUAUUAUGCUGUUUUAGCAGGCAAACCAAACGCCGUGGUUUAUACUUUGAUGUGCUCUUCUUCUUAGGAAUCACAGUUUUUUCUUGGGAAGAUUAGGAUGAUUGGUAGCAUGAUUGAAGAAAUCGACCCAGCAAAGCUUAUCCCUUCAUCUCAGAAAAACAAGCUCAGCAGCUGAAGAGUUCUAUGUGGAACGAAAGCUCAACAGUUAGUCCCUCAAGUAGCAUAGUCGAGGGCGAACAGUCCAUACUG
Molecule: RNA transcript, 1861 nt
Organism: Zingiber officinale
Lineage: Eukaryota; Viridiplantae; Streptophyta; Magnoliopsida; Zingiberales; Zingiberaceae
Exons: 11
Source: RefSeq, a predicted model, not a curated record